RNAcentral lists this RNase P RNA (441 nucleotides) under Rhodococcus opacus. Its description in RNAcentral is "RNase P RNA component class A". It matches the Rfam family "Bacterial RNase P class A". From Rfam's summary of the family: Ribonuclease P (RNase P) is a ubiquitous endoribonuclease, found in archaea, bacteria and eukarya as well as chloroplasts and mitochondria. Its best characterised activity is the generation of mature 5'-ends of tRNAs by cleaving the 5'-leader elements of precursor-tRNAs. Lineage: Bacteria; Bacillati; Actinomycetota; Actinomycetes; Mycobacteriales; Nocardiaceae. The record is from RNAcentral.
CGAGUUGGCCGGGCGGCCGCGGCACAGGGAACCAGCACGUGAGUGCACAGGCCCCGAGUCGAGGAAAGUCCGGACUCCACAGAGCAGGGCGGUUGUUAACGGCAACCCGAGGUGACUCGCGGGACAGUGCCACAGAAAAACAGACCGCCGGCGCCACACCCUUCGGGGGUGAGGCGUCGGUCAGGGUGAAACGGUGCGGUAAGAGCGCACCAGCACCCCGGGUGACCGGGGUGGCUAGGUAAACCCCGCCCGGAGCAAGGUUGAAGGCCGCAUCGGAUCCUCAGGGAUCCCGGUGCGGCUGCGCAGGUGUUCGAGGGCUGCUCGCCCGAGCCUGCGGGUGAACCGCUCGAGGUACCCGGCGACGGUGUAUCCAGAUGGAUGGUCGCCACCCGGCGCUUCGGCGCCCGGGGACAGGAUCCGGCUUACACGCCAACUCGUCCG